GUGGGGAAUCUUCCGCAAUGGACGAAAGUCUGACGGAGCAACGCCGCGUGAGUGAAGAAGGUUUUCGGAUCGUAAAGCUCUUUCGUUAGGGACGAACGUGCUCUUUGUGAAUAAUGAGGAGUAAUGACGGUACCUAAAUAAGAAGCCACGGCUAACUACGUGCCAGCAGCCGCGGUAAUACGUAGGUGGCAAGCGUUGUCCGGAAUUAUUGGGCGUAAAGCGCGCGCAGGCGGGAUAUCAAGUCUGUCUUAAAAGUGCGAGGCUCAACCUCGUGAGGGGACAGAAACUGGUAUUCUUGAGUGUCGGAGAGGAAAGUGGAAUUCCAAGUGUAGCAGUGAAAUGCGUAGAGAUUUGGAAGAACACCAGUGGCGAAGGCGACUUUCUGGACGAUGUCUGACGCUGAGGCGCGAAAGCUAGGGGAGCGAACGGGAUUAGAUACCCUGGUAGUCC
This 450-nucleotide ribosomal RNA is filed under the name uncultured bacterium. RNAcentral's name for it is "partial 16S ribosomal RNA". It matches the Rfam family "Bacterial small subunit ribosomal RNA", at positions 354 to 796 of the family's 1533-position model. The record is from RNAcentral.